Molecule: long non-coding RNA, 953 nt
Filed under: Ananas comosus (pineapple)
Lineage: Eukaryota; Viridiplantae; Streptophyta; Magnoliopsida; Poales; Bromeliaceae
Description: long non-coding RNA (ACOM_LNC035680)
Source: RNAcentral
UUUGAUCAAGUUUGAACAUGAUUGUGAUUUGACUCUAGUUUUAUAUGCUAGAGAAUCGAAUAUUUUGGGAAUUGGGAUGUUCGUGAAAAUUGAAUUUGAGUUUAGUUUAAUGACAUUUCGGUCGAUAUCGGAUUUAGGUUUAGUUUAACGACGUUUCGGUCGGUUGAUUUGGUGGAUUAGUUUAACGCUGUUUCGGUCGAAGGUUUGGGUUUGGUUCACAAGGUUUAUAGGUAUUGGGUAUAUGGGAUUAUGGUUCAUGAACUUAGAUAUGGUUCAUGGGUUUAUGGUUCAUGGACUUAUGGUUCAUGGGUUUAUGGUUCAUGAACUUGGUGUAUGGUUUGUAGGUUUAUGAUCCAUGGCUCAUGAACUUGAUUUGAUUCAUGAACUUGAUUCAUAAUUCGUGGAUUUGGUGUAUGGUAUGGUCCACAGGAUUUGGUGUAUGGUUUGGUCCAUGGUUUUGGUUCAAAGUUCAUGGACUUGGUUAAGGUUAUGGGCUUGGAUAUGGGUUAAAUGUGUAUGGGUUCAUGGGUAAAUAUAUAUAGGUUUAUGUAUAUGGGUUUAUGGGUUAAUGGUUUUAAUGAGUUUUGGAUAAUGGGCUUUGAUAGUGGGCCCAAAUGGGUUUUGGACUGGGGCCAUUUGUAAAUGGGCUCUGGGCUUUUGACUAGGCCUAGAUUUAAUUGGAUUGGGUUAUGGGUUAUGGGUUAGACGUGUAGAUUGGUUAUUGGGUUCAGACUUGGGCUGAAUUCAUUUUGAUGUGGAUUCGGGCUCAAUAUGGGCUGAACUCAUUUUGAUGUGGAUUCGGGUUCAAUAUGGACCAAAUCAUUUUGGAUAUGGAUUUGGACUCAAUACGGGCUCAUUUCAUUUUGGAUUCGGGUUCAAAAUGGGCCAAAUCAUUUUGAAUUUAGACUCGGGCUCAAUAUGGGCUCAUUUUGGAUUUGGACUUGGGCUUUGGC